This is a non-coding RNA of Peromyscus maniculatus bairdii (prairie deer mouse), 905 nucleotides long. The record is from RefSeq and is a predicted model, not a curated record. Lineage: Eukaryota; Metazoa; Chordata; Mammalia; Rodentia; Cricetidae.
GGUAGCUCAGUGGAACUGUGAUCAACUCAGCAGUACCUGACGCCAGAGCAGAGACACAGCAAUCUAAGGGAGCUGGAACAGAUGGUGGUGACUUCCCAAUGGGCACACCUAACAGCAAGAAACUUUAUGGCAGCACAAUUGGCAAAAGAAUAAUGUGAAUAAUAUGUGGGCUGUUUUUCAUUGUGAGAUUCUUGUGUUCUCAUAUCAUGUCACAUCAGCAAGUGCCAUCUCCCUGUGCUACUCCCUGCUGGACUGGGCCGAUUUUAGCUUUCUGUAAUAGUAGAUGAAAGACGACUUCGGACGUAAGCAUCCUCGCUGCAGCACAAAACAGCAACCACGUGGAUAUGAUGGAUGGAUGAGAAAGGGCUUUGUUAUUUAUGGAAACUUAGGCAGAGCUCAAACUAUCCAAUUGUCUCUCUCCUCUUAAGAGAGCGACAAUUUAAAUACAAGCAAGGAAAGUCACUCUCACCCACACCACGGCAGUUUCCCUGGAUAAUUCAGAGUUUUCAAGGCACAAUAUGAACAGCAACUUGGGAGAAACAAUGCCCAAGUUGUGUUGUGAUUACUCAGAUCUGAGCAGCUGAGCAGGGAAGCCGGGCACUGGAAUGCUGUGCAGCAAUCAGCACUGUUGACUAAUCAGAAUCUGAGACACUGGAAGAUUCUAUUACCCCCUUCCACCACUGCCACGUGCACUCUCUAAAGCCUAGGGGAAGGAGAGGACAUCACUAUGAUGAGCUGUCACCUGGACCAGGUCCGAGGAAACUAGACUGGCCACAGUACUGCCAAUGAAAACACAUUAGGCCAAGUAAACCUGAAGCUCUCCAAAGCACACUCUCGCUGUUCUAUAAUCCAAUUGUGAAAGAAGGAAAGAAAAUCCAUUGUUCAGAAUAAAAUUUUAUAUUACU